RNAcentral lists this ribosomal RNA (479 nucleotides) under uncultured bacterium. RNAcentral's name for it is "partial 16S ribosomal RNA". It matches the Rfam family "Bacterial small subunit ribosomal RNA", at positions 28 to 507 of the family's 1533-position model. The record is from RNAcentral.
GAUGAACGCUGGCGGCGUGCUUAACACAUGCAAGUCGAACGAAGCACUUAAGAUUGAUUCUUCGGAUGACGUCUUUUGUGACUUAGUGGCGGACGGGUGAGUAACGCGUGGGUAACCUGCCUCACACAGGGGGAUAACAGUUAGAAAUGACUGCUAAUACCGCAUAACCCGAUAGGAUCGCAUGAUCCAGACGGAAAAGAUUUAUCGGUGUGAGAUGGACCCGCGUCUGAUUAGCUAGUUGGUGAGGUAACGGCCCACCAAGGCGACGAUCAGUAGCCGGCCUGAGAGGGUGAACGGCAACAUUGGGACUGAGACACGGCCCAAACUCCUACGGGAGGCAGCAGUGGGGAAUAUUGCACAAUGGGGGAAACCCUGAUGCAGCGACGCCGCGUGAGUGAAGAAGUAUUUCGGUAUGUAAAGCUCUAUCAGCAGGGAAGAAAAUGACGGUACCUGACGAAGAAGCCCCGGCUAACUACGUG